RNAcentral lists this ribosomal RNA (478 nucleotides) under uncultured bacterium. Its description in RNAcentral is "partial 16S ribosomal RNA". It matches the Rfam family "Bacterial small subunit ribosomal RNA", at positions 28 to 523 of the family's 1533-position model. The record is from RNAcentral.
GACGAACGCUAGCGGCGUGCUUAACACAUGCAAGUCGAACGGUAAGGCCCUUCGGGGUACACGAGUGGCGAACGGGUGAGUAACACGUGGGUGAUCUGCCCUGCACUUCGGGAUAAGCCUGAGAAACUGGGUCUAAUACCGGAUAGGACUCCGGACUGCAUGGUCUGGGGUGGAAAGCUUUUGCGGUGUGGGAUGGGCCCGCGGCCUAUCAGCUUGUUGGUGGGGUGAUGGCCUACCAAGGCGACGACGGGUAGCCGGCCUGAGAGGGUAACCGGCCACACUGGGAGUGAGAUACGGCCCAGACUCCUACGGGAGGCAGCAGUGGGGAAUAUUGCACAAUGGGCGCAAGCCUGAUGCAGCGACGCCGCGUGAGGGAUGACGGCCUUCGGGUUGUAAACCUCUUUCAGCAUCGACGAAGCGAAAGUGACGGUAGGUGCAGAAGAAGGACCGGCCAACUACGUGCCAGCCGCCGCUGUAA